AGUUAAGUGAAUAAGAGCGCACGGUGAAUGCCUUGGCACUAGGAGCCGAUGAA
This 53-nucleotide ribosomal RNA is filed under the name Filobacillus milosensis. RNAcentral describes it as "partial 23S ribosomal RNA". Lineage: Bacteria; Bacillati; Bacillota; Bacilli; Caryophanales; Bacillaceae. The record is from RNAcentral.